This 440-nucleotide ribosomal RNA is filed under the name uncultured bacterium. RNAcentral describes it as "partial 16S ribosomal RNA". It matches the Rfam family "Bacterial small subunit ribosomal RNA", at positions 338 to 795 of the family's 1533-position model. The record is from RNAcentral.
CCUACGGGUGGCAGCAGUGGGGAAUAUUGCACAAUGGGGGAAACCCUGAUGCAGCGACGCCGCGUGAGUGAAGAAGUAUCUCGGUACGUAAAGCUCUAUCAGCAGGGAAGAAAAUGACGGUACCUGACUAAGAAGCCCCGGCGAACUACGUGCCAGCAGCCGCGGUAAUACGUCGGGAGCAAGCGUUAUCCGGAUUUACUGGGUGUAAAGGGAGCGUAGAGGGCAGCACAAGUCUGGAGUGAAAUCCCGGGGCUUAACCCCGGAACUGCCUUGGAAACUGGGCGUCUUGAGUGCAGGAGGGGUAAGCGGAAUGCCUAGUGUAGCGGUGAAAUGCGUAGAUAUUAGGAGGAACACCGGUUGCGAAGGCGGCUUACUGGACUGUAACUGACGUUGAGGCUCGAAAGCGUGGGGAGCAAACAGGAUUAGAUACCCGGGUAGUC